RNAcentral lists this long non-coding RNA (274 nucleotides) under Homo sapiens (human). Its description in RNAcentral is "HSALNT0361120". Lineage: Eukaryota; Metazoa; Chordata; Mammalia; Primates; Hominidae. The record is from RNAcentral.
UAUCUUAAAUCCCUCUACCUGGCCUGGCACAGUGGCUCAUGCCUGUAAUCCCAGCACUUUGGGAGGCUGAGAUGGGUGGAUCACUUGAGGUCAGGAGUUCAAGACCAGCCUGACCAACAUGGUGAAACCCCAUUUCUACUAAAAAUACAAAAAAUAGCCGGGCAUUAUGGUGGGCGCCAGUAAUCCCAGCUACUCGGGAGGUUGAGGCAGGAGAAUGGCUUGAACCCGGGAGGCGGAGGUUGCAGUGAGCCGAGAUCGUGCCAUUGCACUCCAG